AACGAACGCUGGCGGCAGGCCUAACACAUGCAAGUCGAGCGAGGACUUCGGGUCUAGCGGCGGACGGGUGAGUAACGCGUGGGAAUGUGCCCUUCUCUACGGAAUAGCUCUGGGAAACUGGGAGUAAUACCGUAUACGCCCUAUUGGGGAAAGAUUUAUCGGAGAAGGAUCAGCCCGCGUUGGAUUAGGUAGUUGGUGGGGUAAUGGCCUACCAAGCCGACGAUCCAUAGCUGGUUUGAGAGGAUGAUCAGCCACACUGGGACUGAGACACGGCCCAGACUCCUACGGGAGGCAGCAGUGGGGAAUCUUAGACAAUGGGGGCAACCCUGAUCUAGCCAUGCCGCGUGAGUGAUGAAGGCCUUAGGGUUGUAAAGCUCUUUCAGCUGGGAAGAUAAUGACGGUACCAGCAGAAGAAGCCCCGGCUAACUCCGUG
RNAcentral lists this ribosomal RNA (433 nucleotides) under uncultured bacterium. RNAcentral's name for it is "partial 16S ribosomal RNA". It matches the Rfam family "Bacterial small subunit ribosomal RNA", at positions 29 to 507 of the family's 1533-position model. The record is from RNAcentral.